GUGGUGUAGGUGUGGUUAGCCUUGCCUUAAAACCAUGUGGAGUCAUCAUGAGAACUAGAAUGGGUACUCCUGGGUUUCCUAUGGUCAAUACAAGAUAAGGGAGCUUCUGGUUGGCUGAUAGACUGAACGUGUUUAGUUGCUCCUAGUGAGUCAGAGAGUUGUUGCAGGGGAUAAUGGAUUCCAUGCUUACCUCAGUGGACUUUCUUCAGUUUCUUGUGGUGUUGUCCUCUGAGAGAAGGCUGGUCCAGUCUUGAUACACUAGCAGUACUUGGUUCUCAUAAAGGUGACGUCAUUCUGAAAGUUCUUCAAACACCUCCUCCUCAUCCCAGCAACAAUCUAAUGGCCCUCUCUUCAGUCUUCAUGGAGUCCUUCCAGUAUGAUGAUACUCUUCCACAAUAUAUCAGGAAGUUGAACGAUGCCCUUUUAAAUGGCUGCUGUCAUUCACUUUAACUGAGGAGGGAUUGUGUUGGUCUACAAUGUCUCUAAUGCUAUGAUCAUUGCUGCCAUUCAUCCACUGGAAUACUGUAGAAUGUUCACUCCAGAUGGUCCCUCUCUCUUACAAACUCUGUCUUUGUCAUCAUUUCAUAAAAUCUCAGUCUCUCCUGAUCUAGGAGUGUCUCUUAAUUCAUUGGAUCAAUGUUCCCUCCCACUCAAUGCACUGGAGACUGGAACUGAGACAUAGUGUCAUUCUUCCUUAGGAAUAGAGGUAAAUGAUACUAUUUAUAGUAACACUGAUACUAUUUAUAGUACAAUACUAUUGAUUGACACUAUGCUAUUGUAGUAUAUGAUAUAUCAUUGUCUAUUGUA
Long non-coding RNA from Amphimedon queenslandica, 807 nucleotides. RefSeq lists it as uncharacterized. Lineage: Eukaryota; Metazoa; Porifera; Demospongiae; Haplosclerida; Niphatidae. The transcript has 4 exons. The record is from RefSeq and is a predicted model, not a curated record.